UACGUAGGGGGCAAGCGUUAUCCGGAUUUACUGGGUGUAAAGGGAGCGUAGACGGCUGUGCAAGCCAGAUGUGAAAGCCCGGGGCUCAACCCCGGGACUGCCCUUGGAACUGUCAGGCUAGAGUGCGGGAGGGGCAGGCGGAAUUCCUGGUGUAGCGGUGAAAUGCGUAGAUAUUAGGAGGAACACCAGUGGCGAAGGCGGUCUGCUGGACAGCAACUGACGGUGAGGCGCGAAAGCGUGGGGAGCAAACAGG
This 253-nucleotide ribosomal RNA is filed under the name uncultured Eubacteriales bacterium. RNAcentral describes it as "uncultured Clostridiales bacterium partial 16S ribosomal RNA". It matches the Rfam family "Bacterial small subunit ribosomal RNA", at positions 524 to 776 of the family's 1533-position model. Lineage: Bacteria; Bacillati; Bacillota; Clostridia; Eubacteriales. The record is from RNAcentral.